UCCUUCGGGAUUAUUAGAGCGGCGGCAGGGUGAGUAAUGCAUAGGUAAUCUGCCCAGUAGUGGGGGAUAGCCCGGGGAAACCCGGAUUAAUACCGCAUACGUCCUACGGGAGAAAGCAGGGAGAUCUUCGGACCUUGCGCUAUUGGAUGAGCCUAUGUCGGAUUAGCUUGUUGGUAAGGUAACGGCUUACCAAGGCGACGAUCCGUAGCUGGUCUGAGAGGAUGAUCAGCCACGCUGGGACUGAGACACGGCCCAGACUCCUACGGGAGGCAGCAGUGGGGAAUAUUGCACAAUGGGGGAAACCCUGAUGCAGCCAUGCCGCGUGUGUGAAGAAGGCCUUCGGGUUGUAAAGCACUUUCAGUAGGGAGGAAGGCCUGUAAGUUAAUACCUUGCAGGAUUGACGUUACCUACAGAAGAAGCACCGGCUAACUCCGUGCCAGC
This 441-nucleotide ribosomal RNA is filed under the name marine sediment bacterium ISA-7176. RNAcentral describes it as "bacterial SSU rRNA". It matches the Rfam family "Bacterial small subunit ribosomal RNA", at positions 76 to 512 of the family's 1533-position model. The record is from RNAcentral.